Molecule: non-coding RNA, 71 nt
Organism: Heligmosomoides polygyrus
Lineage: Eukaryota; Metazoa; Nematoda; Chromadorea; Rhabditida; Heligmosomidae
Source: Rfam
GCGCCGGUGGUGUAAGGUGAACAUCGCUGCCCGGUAAGCAGAAGAUGCGGGUUCGAGUCCCACCUGGCGCA